AACGAACGCUGGCGGCAGGCUUAACACAUGCCAGUCGAGCGGGAAUCCUUGUGGUGUCAGCGGCAGACGGGUGGGUAACGCGUGGGAAAGUGGCCUUCGGUUCGGAAUAAAUCAGGGGAACUUGAGCUAAAACCGGAUACGAGCGCGAGCAGAAACGCUUAUCUGACGAAGGAUCGGCGCUAGUCUGAUUAGCUAGUUGGUGAGGUUACGGCUCACCAAGGCGACGAUCAGUAGCUGGUCUGCGAGGAUGCUCCGCCACACUGGGACUGAGACACGGCCCCGACCCCGACGGGACGCAGCAGUAGAGAAUAUUGUACAAUGGGGGCAACCCUAGUCCCGCCAUGCCGCGUAUGUGAUGACUGCCUUAGUAUUGCAAAUCUCUUUUCGCCGAGACGAGAAUGACGGUACCGGGUAAAGAAGCCCCGGCUAACUUCGUG
RNAcentral lists this ribosomal RNA (437 nucleotides) under uncultured bacterium. Its description in RNAcentral is "partial 16S ribosomal RNA". It matches the Rfam family "Bacterial small subunit ribosomal RNA", at positions 29 to 507 of the family's 1533-position model. The record is from RNAcentral.